RNAcentral lists this ribosomal RNA (492 nucleotides) under uncultured bacterium. Its description in RNAcentral is "partial 16S ribosomal RNA". It matches the Rfam family "Bacterial small subunit ribosomal RNA", at positions 29 to 507 of the family's 1533-position model. The record is from RNAcentral.
AUUGAACGCUGGCGGCAUGCUUUACACAUGCAAGUCGAACGGUAACAGGCCUUCGGGUGCUGACGAGUGGCGAACGGGUGAGUAAUGCAUCGGAACGUGCCCAGAGGUGGGGGAUAACGCAGCGAAAGCUGUGCUAAUACCGCAUGUGAUCUGAGGAUGAAAGCGGGGGACCAGGCAGCAAUGUUUGGCCUCGCGCCUUUGGAGCGGCCGAUGUCAGAUUAGGUAGUUGGUGGGGUAAAGGCCUACCAAGCCGACGAUCUGUAGCUGGUCUGAGAGGACGACCAGCCACACGGGGACGGAGACACGGCCCAGACUCCUACGGGAGGCAGCAGUGGGGAAUUUUGGACAAUGGGCGCAAGCCUGAUCCAGCAAUGCCGCGUGCGGGAAGAAGGCCUUCGGGUUGUAAACCGCUUUUGUACGGAACGAAAAGGCUCUGGCUAAUACCUGGGGCUGAUGACGGUACCGUAAGAAUAAGCACCGGCUAACUACGUG